UCCUUAAUGCAGUUGUCGUCGACAUGGA
RNAcentral lists this small RNA (28 nucleotides) under Bombyx mori (domestic silkworm). Its description in RNAcentral is "ovarian small RNA-3395". Lineage: Eukaryota; Metazoa; Arthropoda; Insecta; Lepidoptera; Bombycidae. The record is from RNAcentral.